CCUACGGGAGGCAGCAGUGAGGAAUAUUGGUCAAUGGGCGUGAGCCUGAACCAGCCAAGUAGCGUGAAGGAUGACUGCCCUACGGGUUGUAAACUUCUUUUAUACAGGAAUAAAGUGCGGCACGUGUGCUGUUUUGUAUGUACCUCAUGAAUAAGGACCGGCUAAUUCCGUGCCAGCAGCCGCGGUAAUACGGAGGAUCCGGGCGUUAUCCGGAUUUAUUGGGUUUAAAGGGAGCGUAGGCAGGAUGUUAAGCCAGCCGUGAAAGUUCGCGGCUCAACCGUGGAAUUGCAGUUGAUACUGGCAGUCUUGAGUGCGCUGAAGGUAUGCGGAAUUCGUGGUGUAGCGGUGAAAUGCUUAGAUAUCACGAAGAACUCCGAUUGCGAAGGCAGCUUACGAAACUGCUACUGACGUUGAUGCUCGAAGGUGUGGGUAUCGAACAGGAUUAGAUACCCUUGUAGUC
This 460-nucleotide ribosomal RNA is filed under the name uncultured bacterium. RNAcentral's name for it is "partial 16S ribosomal RNA". It matches the Rfam family "Bacterial small subunit ribosomal RNA", at positions 338 to 795 of the family's 1533-position model. The record is from RNAcentral.